GACGAACGCUGGCGGCGUGCUUAACACAUGCAAGUCGAACGGAAAGGCCCUGCUUUUGUGGGGUGCUCGAGUGGCGAACGGGUGAGUAACACGUGAGUAACCUGCCCUUGACUUUGGGAUAACUUCAGGAAACUGGGGCUAAUACCGGAUAGGAGCUCCUGCUGCAUGGUGGGGGUUGGAACGUUUCGGCGGUUGGGGAUGGACUCGCGGCUUAUCAGCUUGUUGGUGGGGUAGUGGCUUACCAAGGCUUUGACGGGUAGCCGGCCUGAGAGGGUGACCGGCGACAUUGGGACUGAGAUACGGACCAGACUCGUACGGGAGGCAGCAGUGGGGAAUAUUGCACAAUGGGCGGAAGCCUGAUGCAGCAACGCCGCGUGCGGGAUGACGGCCUUCGGGUUGUAAACCGCUGUCGCCUGUGACGAAGCGGGAGUGACGGUAAUGGGUAAAGAAGCACCGGCUAACUACGUG
Molecule: ribosomal RNA, 468 nt
Filed under: uncultured bacterium
Lineage: Bacteria
Description: partial 16S ribosomal RNA
Rfam family: Bacterial small subunit ribosomal RNA
Source: RNAcentral